CCUACGGGUGGCUGCAGUGGGGAAUAUUGCACAAUGGGGGAAACCCUGAUGCAGCAACGCCGCGUGAGCGAAGAAGGCCUUCGGGUCGUAAAGCUCUGUUGUUAGGGAAGAACAAGUACCGGAGUAACUGCCGGUACCGUGACGGUACCUAACCAGAAAGCCACGGCUAACUACGUGCCAGCAGCCGCGGUAAUACGUAGGUGGCAAGCGUUGUCCGGAAUUAUUGGGCGUAAAGCGCGCGCAGGCGGUUCCUUAAGUCUGAUGUGAAAGCCCACGGCUCAACCGUGGAGGGUCAUUGGAAACUGGGGAACUUGAGUGCAGAAGAGGAGAGCGGAAUUCCACGUGUAGCGGUGAAAUGCGUAGAGAUGUGGAGGAACACCAGUGGCGAAGGCGGCUCUCUGGUCUGUAACUGACGCUGAGGCGCGAAAGCGUGGGGAGCAAACAGGAUUAGAUACCCCGGUAGUC
Molecule: ribosomal RNA, 465 nt
Filed under: uncultured bacterium
Lineage: Bacteria
Description: bacterial SSU rRNA
Rfam family: Bacterial small subunit ribosomal RNA
Source: RNAcentral